GGGCCCGUAGCGCAGCUGGUAGCGCGCCCCGCUUACACCGGGAAGGUCGUCGGUUCGAGUCCGGCCGGGCCCA
This 73-nucleotide transfer RNA is filed under the name Micrococcales bacterium. RNAcentral's name for it is "tRNA-Val". It matches the Rfam family "tRNA". Rfam says of the family: Transfer RNA (tRNA) molecules are approximately 80 nucleotides in length. Their secondary structure includes four short double-helical elements and three loops (D, anti-codon, and T loops). Further hydrogen bonds mediate the characteristic L-shaped molecular structure. tRNAs have two regions of fundamental functional importance: the anti-codon, which is responsible for specific mRNA codon recognition, and the 3' end, to which the tRNAs corresponding amino acid is attached (by aminoacyl-tRNA synthetases). tRNAs cope with the degeneracy of the genetic code in two manners: having more than one tRNA (with a specific anti-codon) for a particular amino acid; and 'wobble' base-pairing, i.e. permitting non-standard base-pairing at the 3rd anti-codon position. The record is from RNAcentral. RNAcentral also lists the same sequence under 2 other names. Lineage: Bacteria; Bacillati; Actinomycetota; Actinomycetes; Micrococcales.